Bos taurus (domestic cattle) is the source of this 1026-nucleotide long non-coding RNA. The record is from Ensembl. Lineage: Eukaryota; Metazoa; Chordata; Mammalia; Artiodactyla; Bovidae.
CCCCAGGGGCGGCUGAGAUGAAAUGGGAUAGCACACGUGUUGUAUAUUCAGCUGGUCACGCUUAUACCACUGUUGUGGUAUCUGCAACCCCGCCUGGGAGGUGUGGGGUGUGUCCCUCUCCCUUAUUCUGUCCACCGGUCAAGUGAGAUGCCAGACCACCUCCCCUCUCUAUACCCAAGCACCUGAGUCCACCAUUAGAAACCCAUUCUUUAACCACUGACACCUGGUCCUCUUUAAAAUGAAAACGGCCCCCAGAAGGCUGGCAGAGAAGUCCUCCUAUCUGAGCAAGAAAUCAUUUAUGAAAUGACCUAAUCUGAGAGUGAAUGGGGAUGCAGCCGAGUGCCUGGGUCACGGGGGCUCAUUGCCUGAAGGGCAGCCUGGUCCAUCCUUAGACAAUGCUGUGCACUGUGCCUCGGAGCUCAAGCUCACGUCCCUCAAACUCCUCUGGGAAUCUCUCUGACCCUGGAGCCCAGCACUGAGGUCACUCUCCAGAAAAUCCUAAGCCACAGAUAAGCAGCUGCCAAUAAGUUUUGUAAAAAGCCAUCUCAGGGUGUUUGCCAAUGAAACCAGCGUAGCAGCAUAGUUUUAUUCAGAGUUGUCAGUCUGAGGAAGGGUUUCCCAGGUGGCUUGGUGGUAAAGACCCUGCCUGCCAAUGCAGAAGAUGCAGGAUCAAUCCCUGGGUCGGGAAGAUCCCCUGGAGACGGAAAUGGCAAUGCACCCCAGUAUUCUUGCCUAGUAAAUUCCAUGGACAGAGGAGCCUGGCAGGCUACAGUCUGUGGGGUUGCAAAGAGUUGGACAUGACAGAACACGAACGCGUGUCAGUCUGAGGCAGCACACAGGCACUCUGAUGAGUGGGAAUGUGGCAGAAUCAUCUUAAUAAUAAGGGCUCACCCAGACCAGGUGUCAGGCACUAUUCAAAUGCUUUCACGUGGAGCAACUCAUCUAGUACUUCCAACCCUUCAGUGAGGCAGGUGCUAGGAAAUGGAGACUUAGAGAGGUCAAGUGACUUGCCCCAGGUCCCACAGC